RNAcentral lists this ribosomal RNA (253 nucleotides) under uncultured bacterium. RNAcentral describes it as "partial 16S ribosomal RNA". It matches the Rfam family "Bacterial small subunit ribosomal RNA", at positions 524 to 776 of the family's 1533-position model. The record is from RNAcentral.
UACGUAGGGGGCAAGCGUUGUCCGGAUUUAUUGGGCGUAAAGAGCGUGUAGGCGGCCAGUUAGGUCCGUUGUGAAAACUCGAGGCUCAACCUCGAGACGCCGAUGGAAACCAAUUGGCUAGAGUCCGGAAGAGGAGAGUGGAAUUCCCGGUGUAGCGGUGAAAUGCGCAGAUAUCGGGAAGAACACCCGUGGCUAAGGCGGCUCUCUAGUACGGUACUGACGCUGAUGCGCGAAAGCGUGGGGAGCAAACGGG